GGGUAGGGGUAAAAUCCUGUCAUCCUUAGAGGACCACCAGUUGCGAAGGCGCCACACUAGAACGGAUCCGACGGUCAGGGACGAAGCCUAGGGGCACGAACCGGAUUAGAUACCCGGGUAGUCCUAGGUGUAAACGCUGUGAACUUGGUGUCGGGAGUCCGCAAUGGGCCCCCGGUGCCGGAGUGAAGAUGUUAAGUUCACUGCCUGGGGAGUACGGUCGCAAGGCUGAAACUUAAAGGAAUUGGCGGGGGAGCACUGCAACGGGAGGAGCGUGCGGUUUAAUUGGAUUCAACGCCGGAAAACUCACCAGGGCCGACUGUUAUAUGAAGACCAGCGUAAUGAGCUUGUCGGAUUUUCAGAGAGGUGGUGCAUGGCCGUCGUCAGUUCGUACUGUAAAGCGUUCUGUUAAGUCAGAUAACGAACGAGACCCUCAUCUCUAUUUGCUACCUGUCUCUCCGGAGGCGGCGCACUAUAGGGAGACCGCUGGUGUUAAACCAGAGGAAGGCGAGGGCAACGACAGGUCAGUAUGCCCCGAAUGUCCUGGGCUACACGCGCGCUACAAAGGACGGGACAAUGGGAAGCCAGGCCGAGAGGCCGAGCUAACCCGAAACCCGUUCAUAGUUCGGAUCGAGGGCUGUAACUCGCCCUCGUGAAGCUGGAUUCCGUAGUAAUCGUGUUUCAAUAUAGCACGGUGAAUAUGCCCCUGCUCCUUGCACACACCGCCCGUCAAACCAUCUUAGUUGGGGGUGGGUGAGGCUGCGCUUUAUGGCGUAUUCGAGCCUGCCUUCGACAAGGAGGGUUAAGUCGUAACAAGGUAUCUGUAGGGGAACCUGCAGAUG
This 839-nucleotide ribosomal RNA is filed under the name marine metagenome. RNAcentral's name for it is "bacterial SSU rRNA". It matches the Rfam family "Archaeal small subunit ribosomal RNA", at positions 624 to 1467 of the family's 1478-position model. The record is from RNAcentral.